RNAcentral lists this ribosomal RNA (492 nucleotides) under uncultured bacterium. RNAcentral's name for it is "partial 16S ribosomal RNA". It matches the Rfam family "Bacterial small subunit ribosomal RNA", at positions 29 to 507 of the family's 1533-position model. The record is from RNAcentral.
AGUGAACGCUGGCGGUAGGCCUAACACAUGCAAGUCGAACGGCAGCACAGUAAGAGCUUGCUCUUACGGGUGGCGAGUGGCGGACGGGUGAGGAAUACAUCGGAAUCUACUUUUUCGUGGGGGAUAACGUAGGGAAACUUACGCUAAUACCGCAUACGACCUACGGGUGAAAGCAGGGGAUCUUCGGACCUUGCGCGAUUGAAUGAGCCGAUGUCGGAUUAGCUAGUUGGCGGGGUAAAGGCCCACCAAGGCGACGAUCCGUAGCUGGUCUGAGAGGAUGAUCAGCGACACUGGAACUGAGACACGGUCCAGACGCCUACGGGAGGCAGCAGUGGGGAAUAUUGGACAAUGGGCGCAAGCCUGAUCCAGCCAGACCGCGUGGGUGAAGAAGGCGUUCGGGUUGUAAAGCCCUUUUGUUGGGAAAGAAAAGCAGCAGGUUAAGACCCCGCUGUUCUGACGGUACCGAAAGAAUAAGCACCGGCUAACUUCGUG